UUAAUUGAAGCCAAAUCAGAGGCAUUUUAUUGUUAAUAAAAAAAUUGAAUUAAUUUCCAAUUAAA
Molecule: transfer RNA, 65 nt
Filed under: Evacanthus acuminatus
Lineage: Eukaryota; Metazoa; Arthropoda; Insecta; Hemiptera; Cicadellidae
Also listed under: 2 other names
Description: tRNA-Asn
Source: RNAcentral